RNAcentral lists this long non-coding RNA (856 nucleotides) under Danio rerio (zebrafish). Its description in RNAcentral is "lncRNA si:ch73-80e5.4 (ENSDARG00000097951.2)". Lineage: Eukaryota; Metazoa; Chordata; Actinopteri; Cypriniformes; Danionidae. The record is from RNAcentral.
AUUUUUCAAUCACUGAGUUUUUACUUUCUUUUUAAACACUACUUUAAGACAUGUGUAUUUCACAAUAGAGUAAAUCAGGACACAAAAUAACACCAAUAUCAUCAGCAGAGUCAAAAUAACAUCUAUAGAGUGGUACUCAAUCCAGGACAUUCUGAAAGACUGUGUCCGUAAAUGAGAAGCUCCUUUAUUCCUCAUGACAAACUCAAUCCAGAACAUGGCACGAUCAAGAGGUUUCAUUGGCUGGUCAUGGUGCACCUUGGACAGUCUCUGAAUGUUUUCCUUAAAUUAACUUCACUUAAAAUAACGCUUUUUAAGUGGAGCUAAAUUCAAAUUAACUGAUAUUUCCAGCCAAUAUGUCACUCACGCUUUACUUUCUUUCUGAAUAAACGAAGACAAAAGUAUUUGGUCAUAUAAGCAGUCACCAAUGCAAAUACUAAAACCAUCACCAUUAAUGUCAAAAUAACAUCAAUAGACUGAUACUCAAUCCAGGACAUUCUGAAAGACUGUGUCCGUAAAUGAGGAGCUCCUUUAUUCCUCAUGACAAACUCAAUCCAGAAGAUGGCACGAUCAAGAGGUUUCAUUGGCUGGUCGUGGUGCAGCUUGGACAGUCUCUGCAUGUUCUCUCUGUAAGACGGAUUAUGCAACACUUCCUUCAACGCCUCCAGAAACACAGCCCUGUCCAAAGUUGCAAUAUCUACAAUUUUUGCUGUUCCCUUUGCUCGCAUCCUGGAGAGAUUAUCAGGCUGAUCAAAAGCUAAAGGAAGGCCUACAAUGGGCACCCCGUGAUAGAUGGCUUCCUGAAGUCCAUUGGUGCCUCCAUGUGCUACAAACAGUUUAGUUUUAGGAUGUCCAAGCA